Molecule: small nuclear RNA, 107 nt
Organism: Colobus angolensis palliatus
Lineage: Eukaryota; Metazoa; Chordata; Mammalia; Primates; Cercopithecidae
Source: Ensembl
GCGGUCACUUCGGCAGCACGUAUACCAAAAUUGGAAUGAUACAGAGAAGAUUAGCAUGCCCCCUGCGCAAGGAUGACAAGUUUUCUUUUACUUUUUUUUCUUUUUUU